AUGACCCACACUUUUCCAUUCAAAUUGAGCCACAUGAUAAGAGAUGUCCGUGAAAAACUUGAUGACAUAGCAUCCAACAGAUCAAAAUUUGGAUUAACAGGCCAUCUAAUUGAUAGCCAUGUAUCCAGGUGCAGUAACAGGGAAACACAUUCCUUUAUUAAUGAAAAAUAUAUUAUUGGAAGAGAUGACGCUAAAGACAAUAUUGUCAAAGUUAUAUUGACUGCUGCAAACUCAAAUUCUUUGUCUGUGCUUCCUAUAGUUGGUUUGGGAGGCAUAGGAAAAACUGCAUUGGCCAAGUUGGUAUACAAUGAUGCACGGACUAGCAAGAAGUUUGAAAGGAAGUUAUGGGCAUGUGUCUCUGAUGUAUUUGAUCUUCACAAGAUCUUAGAUGACAUAAUACAAUCUGGUAGCGGUGAAAGCAACAAAGAACUAAACCUGGAAAUGUUACAUCGCAAGUUGCGUGGGAUUUUACAGGAGAAGAGAUUUUUCCUUGUACUUGAUGACAUGUGGAAUGAUAAAGUUUCUGACUGGGAAGAGUUGAGAAGCCUGCUUUCCAGUGGUGGUAGUGGAAGUGUGAUUGUAGUCACUACGCGCAGUUCAAAUGUUGCAUCCCUGGUGAAGACCCUGGAACAAUAUGACGUUGCAAAAUUACCACAUGAUGAGUGUAUGGAAGUAUUUGUUCAGUGCGCAUUCAGAGAUGGCAGUGAAAAAGACCCCGAUUUGCUAAAACUGGGGAACUCCAUUGUUAAAAAAUGUUGUGGUGUUCCUUUGGCAGCAAAGACACUGGGUUCCCUGUUGUGUAAUAGUCGAAAUGUUGAAGAAUGGGGGCGCAUCAACGAAGACAAACUGUGGAACAUUGAGGGAAGCAUAAAUGGUAUUUUGACAGCAUUAAAAUUGAGUUAUGAUGCACUUCCACCUCAUCUGCGAGCGUCUUUCUCUUGCCUAUCAACUUUUCCGAAGGACUACCAUAUGUUUACAAAUCACCUUGUUAUGUUCUGGAUGGCAUUGGGGUUGUUGCACGGGGGCAGUGAAAGCCACGAGGCGUUAACUAAUGGAGCAAAAUACUUCCAUGAACUUCUUGACAGAUCCCUUUUACAAGACCAAUAUAUUCUUUACGAUGGCAGCAUUCAGAAAUGUAAGAUGCAUGAUCUCGUUCAUGAUCUAGCAAUAUCGGUGUCCAGAAAUGAGUGUGCUAUUGUUAGUUGUGAAAAGGUUGCAGUGCCUGAAACAGUUCGGCAUCUAGUGUGGGACCGCAAGGACUUUUCAGGCGGAUCUGAAAUUUCCUAA
Molecule: ribosomal RNA, 1287 nt
Filed under: Triticum aestivum (bread wheat)
Lineage: Eukaryota; Viridiplantae; Streptophyta; Magnoliopsida; Poales; Poaceae
Description: partial small subunit ribosomal RNA
Source: RNAcentral